RNAcentral lists this ribosomal RNA (300 nucleotides) under Triticum aestivum (bread wheat). Its description in RNAcentral is "partial small subunit ribosomal RNA". The record is from RNAcentral. Lineage: Eukaryota; Viridiplantae; Streptophyta; Magnoliopsida; Poales; Poaceae.
AUGGAUUUACAACUCAAGAAUUACAACUCAAAACUAGAACGAGAUAUGACUCUAUAUGAAUGCCUCCGGCGGUGUACCGGGAUAUGCAAUGAAUCAAGAGCGACAUGUAUGAAGAUUAUGAAGGUGGCUUUGCCACAAAUACGAUGUCAACUACAUGAUCAUGCAAAAGAGCAAUAUGACAAUGAUGAAACGUGUCAUACUAAAUGGAACGGUGGAAAGUUGCAAGGUAAUAUAUCUCGGAAUGGCUAUGGAAAUGCCAUAAAAGGUUGGUAUGGUGGCUGUUUUGAGGAAGGUAAAUAA